RNAcentral lists this transfer RNA (77 nucleotides) under Litorimonas cladophorae. RNAcentral's name for it is "tRNA-Lys". It matches the Rfam family "tRNA". Rfam says of the family: Transfer RNA (tRNA) molecules are approximately 80 nucleotides in length. Their secondary structure includes four short double-helical elements and three loops (D, anti-codon, and T loops). Further hydrogen bonds mediate the characteristic L-shaped molecular structure. tRNAs have two regions of fundamental functional importance: the anti-codon, which is responsible for specific mRNA codon recognition, and the 3' end, to which the tRNAs corresponding amino acid is attached (by aminoacyl-tRNA synthetases). tRNAs cope with the degeneracy of the genetic code in two manners: having more than one tRNA (with a specific anti-codon) for a particular amino acid; and 'wobble' base-pairing, i.e. permitting non-standard base-pairing at the 3rd anti-codon position. Lineage: Bacteria; Pseudomonadati; Pseudomonadota; Alphaproteobacteria; Maricaulales; Robiginitomaculaceae. RNAcentral also lists the same sequence under 1 other name. The record is from RNAcentral.
GCGCCCUUAGCUCAGUUGGUUAGAGCGCCUCACUUUUAAUGAGGAUGUCCGCGGUUCGAAUCCGCGAGGGCGUACCA